ACUUAAAUAGCUUAUAAAUUAGAGUAUAACAUUGAAGAUGUUAGGGAAAUAUUAAUAUUUUUAAGUA
RNAcentral lists this transfer RNA (67 nucleotides) under Bruchidius siliquastri. RNAcentral's name for it is "tRNA-Phe". The record is from RNAcentral. Lineage: Eukaryota; Metazoa; Arthropoda; Insecta; Coleoptera; Chrysomelidae.